ACCGGAGGUACAUAUCUUUCGACUUCAAGCAGGGGCAUUUGAUAACCAUCGCUUGGAGAAAACGUUCCCGCUGUAGGCGCGUCUAUAGAAAAGCCCCAGUUUCGCUGCCGCAGGAAGUUUCACAGGGGUGAAAACCCCCUCGAAUCGGGGGCAUCGCUCCCCAAAAGGAAACUCACGAACUCAGUGCGCAUGACCUUCACCGCAGGAAUCAUCUGAGCUCAGGGACACGGGGCCGACCCGACAUUCGGCAGGGCCCGUGCCAUGUUUACGUGUCUCAGCUGAUCCAAAAUGGGUCAAAAGAAUUGCGCAAUCCCGCCGUGCGUAGACGCAACACCCCCCUCACCCGCGCCCUGCCACGGAGCGCCCGCCCCAACCCCGGAGCUUGGAGUCGGAAGUUCAACCUUGCGAUUGCACAAUGCAUGUUCCCCUCGUUUUCCCUUUGUGUUGAGCAGGAACCAAAACAAACUCCGUUCAGUAGUCCCAGUUGGCGGAUUCGAACAUUUGGCGCGAAUGCGUGUCCGUCAUUCUUCCUCUGUUCGCGUCUUUGUUGAGGAAUUAUAAGUUACUCUGUGGAAAUUAAAAUUUCCCGCGGUUGAGCGCGUCGCGUCCCCCUGCGUGAGAUUCAUAUUUAAGGUCCAUUAAAUGGGUCACUUAAAUUAGGUCCUUUCUUUUCCUUCUUCCGUGAAUUGCUGAACUCGUCGAUUCCGUUGUCUGGAUUGUGUUUGCCGAUUUGGACAUUUGAUUUUGUUCCCUUUCGUGUGAGUGAAUUUUUACAAGGCGGUGUCCUAGAGUUUCGGUGAUUGAGUAGGUAUGGUGGACAGUUGUAUAAACUGAUAAGCCUUAAGUAUACGGACAACGUUGCACUGCAAUUUAAUUUGUUUUGAAGUGUUUUCCUGUGCUGGAAGUGACCCUCAUUGACUCGAGGCUUUGUUUUUAAUGAUAUGCAUUGGAUCUGUCGAGCUGUUGAGGAAUUGCAAAUGAAUUAGAUGUAUGAGUAUUUUGCUACCAUGCAAGGAUCCAUCUUGUCUCGUCUUAAAUAUCCCAGAACUGAUCACUGAUUCAUUUCUCCAGAACAUCCACAAGGCGAACGUUGUCUACACGAGCCGCUUCAACAAGUGGUAUCUCAGGACCCACUUGAAGAUUGAUGACUCAAAAAUAUUUACAUGCAGUUUUACUCAAACCUAUUUAAUACAAAAUGAAGGUUGCACCUCUGAGUAUUUUCUGUCUGCUGUCCCAUCAAAUUUUUCAAUCGGCUCUGCAGUUUUUGUUUUGAAAGGUGACUCGGGAUACACUAUCUAUCUAGGCAAAUUUCGGGAUCCCCAAAAGAUCCUGCUGAAUCCCUUGAUUCAGAGAAUUUCCCAAGGAGAGGAACCUGUGGUUGUACAGGUAGUAGACCCUGCCGAUGUGUUUGGAAAUGUUAACAGCUCUAAUCCUCCAAAGGAUGAAGUCACUCCAGAGUUCCUCUCUUCAUUAAUAAGGCGAGAGCUCAAGAGGGAACCUGAACGAAUCAUCAUUGGAGCCCCAAUUUUCGGAACGCAAAAAUUACUCCUACAAUUAGCCCAAGAACUACAAAUAACUCUGAAAGUGGACAGAGUGAGGGAGACAAUUUUCUCUCUUCUGCAAUUGAAUGAGGAUUUUUACAGUGCUAAGAAAAACCCAGAUCAUAUAGAAGUAAAGGACUUGAGUAGUUUUUCAUACAACUCUCAGCAGAAGAAAGUCAUCUUCAGUCCAGGCUCCAGGUUUGAAAAUGCAGUGUACGUCAAAAUCGGAUCACUACCUUGUGAUGAAUUGACUGAUGAGAAGUUGUCACAUGGAAGUAAUAUAUUUUAUUUCCUACCAAAUGUUCACACCGUGACUCAAGAUGACUUAGGUAUAUUUCUUGAUAAACUCAAGCCAAGAAAAAUUCUGGAUCUCCCACCAUUGUUAAUUGAAGCGUGGAAGAUUUGCAACUACAACAGAGAAGGCGACUUCAUCCAAGAAUGAGGUCUCGUCACAACUCUCGGAUACUGUCCAAGGAUUUCUUAGGAAUUACAAAACUAACCCAAAAUUCUACCCAAAGAUCUUCAAGAAAUUUCAGUCACUCUCGGCGACAGAGAUCUGCAGCACCUCGGUGUGAUAGUGAAUCUUUCCAAAUUCAGAUAAGGAGCUAACGGUAGUCAGUGUUGAAGGUGACAGUGAAAAAACCGUUGAACUCGUUGAGCAGGAUUCAAAGCUGUUCUGGAAAAAGCCUGAAGACUUGCUGAAUCAGAGUAGAUUAACAUCAAGUAAUUUGACAAAGAAUGAAGUUUCUGAGGAGCGAACCAAGCUUAUGCAGAGCUACUUGGCAUCCGAGUCUGAGCGAUUAAAAGGAUCCAAGUCCUCAGACCCUGUAACCAAAGCUGUGAUAAGGCCUGAUAGAAAAGCCGCACCCAAGAGAGUUUUUAUUCAGGUUGAGGAGCAAAAAAUUACUGUGCGUAAGUAUAGGAUCCUCAACAGUCCUCCUUGCAGCAGAGAAAACUUAAGUUGGAAGCAAAAAUUUGGCUGUGAUCGCAAAUUAAGUUCAUCCCCAGAAGAAGAAGUAAUAGAUUCAGUUUCUGAUGAUGUUCCAACACACAACACCCAUCUGAGGCUGAAGCAGCUGUUGCAAAAGUCAUUACGCUCAGGAACAACACAAGCACCAAUUCCAAUUUGCAGAGUUGUUCUCCAUAAAUCAUCCUUGCUCCCAUCCGAUAAUAUCUGUGAUACUAAAUUUGAAGGUAAAAAAAGUCUUCUGACCUAUAAAGAGAAGGAUCAAAACAAUAAAAGAAAAAUGGGGAAUAUUCCUUCAAAGUUAGAGCUAAGGCAGGCUAAACAAUUGAAAGACAUGAGGAAAGAAUUAAAGAAUCUUUUGAUCAAUGGGACAUCUAAUUUAUGUCCUGUUAAUCUUGAGUCCCCUAACAGCUCAUUAUCCUACCUAAAUAAGACAUCUCUUUUAUCCGAACAAAGAGACUCUAGUAAAGAAAAGGACUUGAGAGCCAGUUUCAAAUGUGGGCAGAAAAACCAACUCAAGGCCGAGUCUCUAGGGAUGGGAACAUGAACACACAGAGUGAAAUGAACUGCUCUACAACCAAGAAAAAGAGCCUGCAAGAACGAGAAUUGCAGUCUCUCAUCAUUGACGGAACUCCAAAUUUAUGCCCCAUUAACUGUGCUGCUUCAGAUAGCUCCGUUGAUGACAUUAAAAGAGAAGAAUUCAAUAGUCGUGCAAGGAGAAAAUGUGAGCCCAAAGAAGGUUCAAUUAAUCACAAGUCAAAUAUCAAGGAAGUACCUAGAACUUCAAAUGAUGAAAGUUACUCCAUAUCUAAAGAGAAAAACCAGCAUGUCAUAACCUGUAAUAAAACUCGAAAUUCAUCUCAAAUAAACAGUCAACCUGACAACCCAGUUUACAGGAAUAUAAAUGAAAAACUGAAAAGCAAUUCAAUGAGGUUAGCUGGAAACAGGAGUCAUGAAAACAGACAUCCAAAAGAUUCAAAACCUAAUGGAUUUUCCUCCUCUGAGCAGAGUUGUGAGUUAGAAGCAGACUUUCUGAAAUUAAUUCCAAAGAAGAUUCUCCAAGAAGAUUUAGAAGUUGUAGAAAAGCAGAAUAUCCAAACUCAGAAAAUGUUGAAAACUUGUCAACAUCCAUUGAUGAAGGCAGUAGAAGCCUCAGAGUAAAUGGAGUUUUAGACUUAGGUAGUAGUGAUUCAGGUAGACUCUCUCUGGAAAACAACGAUGAUAAAUUUGUUGAAAGUCUUAAAGUAAGACAGACAUGUACCAAAAGAAAUUAGCGGAGGCCUUUACAAGCCCUACCUCCAUGAUCUAUUCAAGAAAAUUGAGAAAAUACUCAGAUUCCAGCUAUGAAAAUUCUGAAGUUGCUCCAAUCAUGAAACUGAACUUGGCCAUGAAGUUGGUAAUUCAAACUGUAUUCCUCAAAAAUGUGGAAGGAAAACUACUGAUCUGAGUCAAAAGACUCAUGUCUAUCCACCUCAAGGUGAGAAUUUAAAGAAGUUGAUCUCAAGUGGGUUGAAAAGUCUACUGGUACGAAAGAUGGAAAAGGAAUUUAAAGCAGGACUCAGUAGGAAUCAAGGGAGCCAGCAGUCGGAAAAAAAUUCUAUCAAAGCUAGCGCACAACCUGAAACUAAAAUCCCUUGCGUUUCAGGGAAGAGAGACCUUUUCUCUGCGCCGAGAGAGUCAAGAAAUUCAAAUGUGCCAGAAAAAUCAAGCCACAAAACAGAGCCAAGAGCAAGGAAACUCCUUAUAAACAAAGAGCUCUCGCUUCUCUCCAGAAAGAGUUAAAAAAUUUAACUGUAGAUGGCAGCUAUAAAGUUUGUCCCAUCAGUAUUCCCUGUGAUAAUGAUGAUGAUUUAAUUUCAAGCAAGCUCAGAAUCAGGAAGUUUCAGGUAGAACAAGACUCAAAUAAGGUGAGUAAAACGUGUGAAAAGGGCUCAGAAGUUGAUAACAAAACAAGAGCCACCCGGUACAGUAGGAGUUUGAAAGAACUUGAAAAUGUAACCGUCGAUGGAACUCCUAAGCUUUGUCCGGUCAAUAUUACCUGCAAUGAAGAUGGUUUGAUCUCAAGCAUGCUAAAAGUCAAUGAGUCUCCGGCAGAAAAUAAUGCAGAAACAACAAGAACAAACCUUAUAAAUGGAGCCAAAGUUGACAGGAAAAUUGAAAUUUGGAAUAAAGAUAGAACACCUACGAAAUUGGACCCUUCACCUACACAGGUAAUAGAUUCUCAUAGGAAAAAUUGGUCCAAGGAGCUGAAAAAUUUGAGUAUUGAUGGAACUUCGAAAAUGUGCUCUGUAAAUAAAAUUCCUGCUGAAGUCCAGUUCAGUGCAAGUAAACUUAAAGAGAAAUAUGAUAUAAUCUUUAAUCAGCCAUCAACAACUCAUAAAUCUAGGCCAGGACCUAACCCAGAAAGGAAAACCAAUAACAGUGUUUUUCUCUCACAGAAAAAACUAGUAAAUGCUUCCAACCAUGCCGAUGAAGACAGUUCAUUAUCUUACACACCUACAGUAAAAACUGGAGCAGAUUUUAAUAUUCCAAGUCUCAAAGAUAUGAGGAAGCCAUCUUCUAAUUCUAUUCCAACAAGUAAAGCUGGAGCAAACUCAGAAACUGAAAUUCCACAGAAGUCUGAUCCGAACUAUAAAACUAACCAAAAGAACAGACCAAUAGAAUCUUUGGCAAGCAGUGAACCUUUGCAGUCUCCUCAUCGUAAACUCCCCGCAAGAGAAAAUAAGAGGAAGAACAAACUAAAUAUUGAGCUAAAAAAUUUAGCUAUCGAAGGCACUCGUAACCUCUGUCCACUAAAUCUCACAUCUAGUCAUAAAGUCCUCUCACAACCCUGGAUGGAAGAGCAAACAUCAUUUAACAAUUUUCUAAUGGAUAUCUUAAAAGUAAGGUGUCCGAAAAUGCUGCGUUUAAUGGAGCUCAAUCAGAAACUAAGGAGAAUUUGAAAGAACUUGGUAAAAUAAGCAAUAACCAAAAUAAUGAGGCUGUUUUGAAAUCAACAAAAUGUGAAAGAGAUCUUUCUGACAAGUCUCGCUCAAUUAAAGAAAUGAAGAUGGAAACCGACAAGUCUUUCAAGAGAAAUGUACCAGGUCUACAGUUUUAGCAGCUGAAAAUCCAGAUGAAGUAGAAUCGAUUCAAAUCAAAAAGAACGCUCUACAAUCAAUUUCUGGGAUGAUUUAACUGGAAUU
This 5693-nucleotide long non-coding RNA is filed under the name Bemisia tabaci. RNAcentral's name for it is "lncRNA ENSSSA3NGG012433". The record is from RNAcentral. Lineage: Eukaryota; Metazoa; Arthropoda; Insecta; Hemiptera; Aleyrodidae.